AACCCAUGAUUUGGGCAUUUUCUCAACAUCAUUUUGAAUCUUUCCCAUGUCUCAAAAAGCUUCAUCUGUUCCUUGUCUAAACAUAGAAAUUUUAGACUUUGCUU
RNAcentral lists this small nucleolar RNA (104 nucleotides) under Phaseolus vulgaris (common bean). Its description in RNAcentral is "Plant small nucleolar RNA R71". It matches the Rfam family "Plant small nucleolar RNA R71". Rfam says of the family: R71 is a member of the C/D box family of snoRNAs containing the C (UGAUGA) and D (CUGA) box motifs. Multiple nearly identical copies of this snoRNA have been identified in Arabidopsis, and it is thought to function as a 2'-O-ribose methylation guide for 18S ribosomal RNA. Lineage: Eukaryota; Viridiplantae; Streptophyta; Magnoliopsida; Fabales; Fabaceae. The record is from Rfam by way of RNAcentral.